GGUUCGUUGGUGUAGUUGGUUAUCACACCUGUCUCACACACAGGAGGUCCUCGGUUCGAGCCCGAGGCGAACCA
This is a non-coding RNA of Dichotomocladium elegans, 74 nucleotides long. The record is from the annotation of a GenBank genome assembly. Lineage: Eukaryota; Fungi; Mucoromycota; Mucoromycetes; Mucorales; Lichtheimiaceae.